UGGAGAAUGGCUUGAUUUUUUGUACAAUUGAUUUAGCUCAUUAUAAAUAUGAGUAAUUAAACCUUUGUCAGAGGUUUCUAUGAAGAUUUUUUCCCAAUUUGUUGUUUCCCUUCUGAUUUUAGUUAUAUUGGUUUUGUUUGUACAAAAGCUUUUUAGUUUGAUGUAGUCAAAAUUAUUUAUUUUACAUUUUGUGAUUCUACAUCCCUCUUCUUGAUAGAGAUGGAGUGGUCUUCUGAAACAGAUUUUUGUAAAAAUGUCAUUUUGGUGAUCAAUUUUGCUUCAUUGUUUUUAUUUGUUUAAAAAAAUUCAGUGUUGAGAGAGGGCAUAAUUAAGAAUUUUACCACUUUUGAUGAGACACUUUUAUACUUACAUAAUGUAAAAAAAUAAUACAAGUUCAUAAAGGGGUAUCAUUCUACAUCAUUAAUUUUAACAAUUAACUGACAAAGUCAGAGAUUGAUGAGUUGCUUUAUUAAUGUAAUAUACUACCAAACACCAUUGGCAGUCUUUGAGGAAAACCAAAUGGUCCUUUUAAUAUAGUUGUGCUAAUGAAAUCCAAAACAUUAUAUUGCUUUCUCUAAGCAUUCUUUCCUUAUUAGAAGUACAUGCUGGCAUUUGACUCCCAUCAUUUUAAGAACCCAUAAUAGAAAUGGUGGGGUGGCUACCCAUCCCCUACCUUGGUGGUCACAUUAUACAAUUUGGAUCCUGGCUGUACCCCCCAACUCCCUAUUAGUAUGAAUAAUAAAUCCCUUGAAGUAUGCUGUACAUAUUUGAAAUCACUUCGUUAUAAUAAUGUAAAGUAUGAAGGGAGAUUCAUUGGAAGGACCUACCUUUAGAUCUGUGGUUAGUGAGAAGGAGAAGAAAUCUUAGCCAAACAAAAGAUAACCAUGAUUAAAAAAAAAUAGGCCAUUCUAGUUUAACAUAAAUAUAUGACCUUUUUUGGGGGAAAGAGGAGCAUCAAAGAAUUAAAAGGACUUGCUCUUUGGUAUGAGUGGGUUAAUGAUAAUUCACAGGAGUGAGAAAACUAAACCAUACAGUUCUUAAUUUGGUUCUCUUUUCUUUCCCAUGAAGAAUGACCUUUGUGGUGGCAAUGAACAGAACAAAAAUGGCCCUACUACAAGAUAGAUAAAUGAGGAAAUAUUAAGAAAGCACCUAACGAACCCUGUCAAAGGAAGCAGUAAAUGCAAAGAGGGAUGGAUCUGACUGAGUGUAUGAAUGAAUGAAAAGAUAUCCAUGGGCUAUGAGCCCGUAACAUGCCCAAGGUGAACCUACAUCCUCAUAUCUGAAAGAAAUAGAAAAUAUUAUUGGUAAACCUCUAAGUAAUAUUUGAAAGAUUAUAGAAAUCUGGAAAGGAAGCCCACGUUUGGAGAAGGAAAAGUGUCAUUCUGGUUUUCAAAAAAGAGAAGAGAACAAAAUCUAUAGAUUUUAAUCCAGAGAAAUUGACUUCAGCUACUAGGAAAAUUCUAGAACUAAUUAUAAAGAAAACAGUUGAUGAAAGCAAAAGUGAUUAUAAAUAAUCAACAUGGUUUUUAUCAAGAACAAGUAAGGCCAAAAUAGUCUUAUUUCCUAGUCAGACUUGUGCUUUACAAGCAUUGCUCUAUCAGAUUGUGGAGAAAUGAUUCCAGAGGAGAGGUUGAGACCAAGACCAAUUAAUAAACUGUUGCAAUAAUUUAGGAAUAAGGGCCAGAAUUAGGGUGAUGGUUAUGUGCAUAGAGAGACAGGAUGUCUGGGAGAUAUAGAGGUAAAAAGAACAAGGCUUGGCAACUGAUUGAAAAUAUGGGUUGAAGAAUAAGAAGUCAGAGAUAACUCUUAAGAUUAUUACAUCUGGAUGUCUCGAUAGAUGAUGGUACUCUCCAUGGAAGAAGGGAGGUUUAGAAAAGGAAUGAGUUUGAGGGAAAAGACCAAGACCAAUGCUAUAUUGUUGUUUCAAGUGUCUUUCGAAUUUGUAGUUUACAUGUCCAAUGGGCAUUUAGAGAUGCAUUAUUGAAUUCAGGUGAGAGACCAAAGCUAGAUAUCUAGUUCUGGGAGUCAUUUGUAUACCAGUGAUAACUGCUUCAAAAGGAGUACAAAUGGGCCCUCUUCUCUCUAAAGAAGAGCCUUAAAGUACAUCCAUAGUUGGGGGGGGGGAUAUGAAUGAUCUAGUAAAAAGAGACUUAAAAGGAGGAGAGAAAUUGAGAGAAAAAGAACCCAGAGAGAGUAGCAUCAAGACACAUUCAAGAGGAGCAAGUGGUCAAAAAUGUCAUUUGCUUCAGAGAGGUCAAAGAUCUGACAAUUAAGUGAUCUUAGGUAACUUCAAAGAGAGUAGUUUUAAUUGUGUGGUUAGGUCAAAAGCCAGAUUGUAAAAGAUUGAGAAAUGGGAGGGGAGAAAAUGAAAAUAACAGAUACAAACAGCUUUUCCCCAUAAGUUUGUCAAUAGGAAUAAAGAUAUGUAACCCCCUCCCCCCAAAAUCAAAUAAAGACAGAUAUAGGACAGCUUAUAGUUUAGGAGAAAGUGAAGUAUGGAGAACUACUCAAAGAGUUUGAGAUAACAGAGAAUGAGCUACUAGAUAGAAAAGAGACUAAAGUUUAAAAAGAGGAAGCAGCAGAAGUAUCUAUCAUACAUAGAUUGUGAGGACAAUCUGAUAAAAAAAGAUGAGCUCAGUUGUACAAGGAGAGAGAUUGACCUUGUUGAACUACCCAUUCAUCUGUAAUUGUAGUAAAGGAUGAAAGAAUAGAGGAAUAAUGCCAAGGGAUUUUGAAAUAUAGCACAGAGUUAAGAAGAGGUCAUUCAAAAUGAAUAGAUUCUUUUUUCUCAGUAAAGUAUGAUAGUUGAUGGGUGCAAGGGUAGUUUGGGAGGUUGGAGGAGAGAAAAGGUUUAGAAUAGUGCUGUGAAGAGUUGAAUAAAGAAUCAAUUAAUGAAGCAUAAGAUAGAUUACAUAACAUAAAUUUGUAGUGGAUCCAGUCAUCUCCAUUGUAUGAUUUCCCUUAUACCGUUUGAUGAGAUAUUAAUAGGAGCUGAGUAAUAAUUCAUAGUGUUUGGUGAGAUAUGAGCAGUAGUAGGAGAAGAGAAAGAAAUGGAUGAAUGACAAGGUCAUCUAAAACUUGACUGAUAAGCAUUUAGUUAAACCUAAUAAAAUGAAAUUCAAUAAGGAUAAAUUUCAAACUUUACAUUGGGUUCACUAAAUCAGCUUCAAUUGUAUAAUACUGGGGAAGACAUUCAGGUGGCACUUUCUGCAAAGGAAUUUUUGGUUUUAGGGUAUUGGAAGCUUAAAGGAGUCCCCUAUUGUGCUAUGGAAACCAAAAGUAGCUAAUGCAAUCUUUGGUUAUAUUUGGUUAUAUUAAGGAAGAUAUAACUUCAAGGUAUAAGUUAAUGGUUUCUCUGUAUUGUGCCUUGACAACACCACGUACUAUGUUCAGUUCUAAGCACCAUAUUUUAAGUAAGAUGUUAAUAAACUGUAGACUGUCCAGAAGAGGAGAGCCAGAAUGUUGAAGGCUCCAGGGUCAGUAUUAUGAAAAGAAAACCUGAGAUGUUUAACCUGCAAAAGAGAAGACUGACUCUUUGGAACCAUGAUAACUCGUCUUCUGAAGGACUGUUAUGUGGAAGAGAGAUUAUAUUUAUUUAUAUCUCUUUGGAUCUUAGAAGUCAGAGUCAGAUAAAAGUUGAAAAGUAGCAAAUUUAGACUCAAUUUGAGAAAAUCUUUCUAUUAGAGCUUUUUAAAAGUAGAAUGGGCUACCAUUGACAUAGUGGGUUCUAUCAAAUUGGAGGUCUUUAAACAGACUGGAUGAAUAGUUAUCAAGUAUGUCCUGGUGGAGAUCCCUUUCAACUGUGAUUUGAAUGACACAUAACCUCUGAGGUAAUACAGUCCACACAUCAGGGAUAGCUUGUGUAAAGGUCCUGAGAUGGGAUACAGAAUAUCUUGCAUAAAGAAUAACAAUUAGACCACUUUGGCAUGAAUACAGAGAGUACAUAAGGAGAAGCAAUGUGAAAUAAGCCUGGAAAGAUAAGAGAGUUUAAUCAUUACUGGUUUUAGAUGUCAAAUACAGGAAGUGAUACCUUAUUCUAGAAGCAGUAAAUAGCCAGUGAAUCUUUUUGAAAAGGAGAGUAGCAUAGUCAGACUUUAGUUUUAGGGAUACUAAUUUGGUAACCACAUGGAAGAGAGAUUAGUAGUGCAGAGAGACCAAUUAGUAGAUUUUUGUAAUAGUCUAGGUGAGAGGUAAUUAAAGGCCUGAAUUAGAAUAUGUUUUGUGAAUCAAGAGUACAGAACAAAAUAUAACAGAAUAGAAAGCAAAGGAUAGACAACAUUUAAUGCCUGAUCGUAAUAGGCACUGGCAAAAAGUGAAGAUAUGUAUGAUGUGUAGUAGAUUGCAUUAAGCAAAACAAGGAGAAAAGUAUUCGAAGUAACUAUAACAAUGUAUAUUAAAAUACCCAAAGGCCAAUACAGAAAUUGCAUUGACCAAGUUUUGGUCCUGGAGGACAUAUACAGUACAGAUGCUAGUGUCUACAAAAGAAUUAAUGUUGCUUACUCUUGUUAGGCAAUCAUGUUUUCAAUCAGUUUAAGUUAGCUCUUUCCUUUAUUUCAGGCAGGGUUCAGGGAAAUUGGAGGAGUUAAGGGAGGAGAAGCAGAAGAAGAAUAUAUUUUUGGAAUUCACUGAGGUCACCAAACAAAAUCUCCACUUCUGACCAACUUCCCACCAGUGAGUGAAGCCUGACAAACCAGAGAUGAGGAAGAUGCAACUUCUCUCCAGUCGAAGUGAAGGAGAGUGGAAGUCAAGCAGAUGCAUCCAAGAAGCCCACCAGCAUCACCAGUGUAUUCUUCAAGGAGUUUAGAAGCACACUAGUAGUCUUUAUGCGCUUUUACCCAGAGAUAGUAGUUUUCACUAGUAUGCAUCCACAUCUGAGAAGCUGCAUAGGAAACCAGAAAUUUGGUGGAACAGAGACAUUGAAAACCUUUUUUUCUUUUAUUAGUUAGUCUUCGUUCUAACGAAAUGAACUGGAGAUUUCAGCAGUUUUGGGGUAGACUCAAACUGUUAUGAUCUAAUAAUUAUCCCAGUUAGAUUAAUCUGAAACAACUUUUUCUAAAGAAAAAAAUGGUUAUUCAGCUUUGUGUGUAUGUUGUUGUUGUUGUUGUUAAGUUUUAAAAAUAUUUGCUUGAAUUUCCCCAGAAAAUUAUCUCUGUUGUUCUUUUCUUGUUGCCUUCAUUGAAAUAGUCUUCAUGGUCAAAGGUGACAUUUUUGUAGGGAACUUUGCCCUACUUUUAUCCUAAAGGCUAUAGUUUUAUCUGAAUAGACCCUCACUCUCACCAGUAAUAGAACUCACACCUAGACAGGUCAGACGGGCAAAUAAUUCACAUGGAACUUUUAAGUUAUCUGACUAAAUCCUUACAAGAUCUUGUUUCAUGUUUUUCUGCAAGACUUGAAUGAUAAAUGCCAAGUAUCCAAACUUCUCAGAGCCUCAAGGGAAUUAGCUCACAUUCAUAAAAACAUAUUUAGCAUACAACUUAAUAGUAUCUGAUUUAAGCCAGUAUCUGACAGGUCAGUAAAGCAUUAAAAUAUAGAAACAAAGAAUUUAGACUGUGAAGGGUUUUUGAGAUCAAGAAGAUAAUUCAUAAUGUAGCUUGAAUUAACUAUGGUAUUAUAUAGACAGAUCUUUGGAUUUUUAUACAAAGGAUGGGAAACCUCUUGCUAUUCUAGCAAUUAAAUCAAAACUUCAUGAUAUCAGUGUUGCUAUGGAUUUACUGUUCUGUAUAUAGACUUUUAUUGCAUGUAGAUGCUGUUUUGCAUGAGUAGUACCAGGGCUUAUUGAAUUGAGGGCCUCUCUCUAUCAAGGAAGAAAUAGGAUUAGUAGCUGGGUAAUCUCUAGGACAUGCAAUAUCAUGUUUUACUUUUCUGUGGAUAGAAGGCCCUGGCUAAUAUUGGGAUGUGUUACUUAGGUCUGUUGUUAGUAUUCUGCUCAUGCUGCCACACUGGUAUGUCCUUUGAUAGUUUAUAGACUCCCUGGUAUAGACAUUGAUAUUUUAGAUCUAAAGUAUAAAAUAUUAUCUCCAAAUUAAAGAUGACUCCCCUCAGGUCCUAGAGUCUAACUAUAUAAACUGGGUAGUGUGAGUCUGUGAUAAAGAAAAUGAGAGUCGAGACACCUAGACUUCCCAGCUUUACCACUUACUAGUUAUGUGGCCUCAAAGUCAUUACUUCUCCUUGGUCCUUCUCAGUACCAUCAGAGAAAUAAAAGAAUUGGAUUAGAUGUUCCUCAAAAUCCCUUCUGUUAUUCUUGUAUUCUGUGACAAGUUUUGACCUAUGGUGUAUAUGAAUUCAUUAUACAAGCUAUAGGGGUAUACUUGUGUUUGGAUUUAUGGCAUUGUAGUAUGAUUGAAAGAAUAAUGAACUUAGAACUAGAAGACCUAGGUCCAAGUCCUGAGUCCUCUGCUUACUCCCUAUAUAAAUGUGAGCAAAUCAUUUACUCUUCUUGAGCCAGUUUCCUCAUCUGUAAUGUGUGACUACUUAACCCUCAUAGAGUUGUUUCAAGGAUCCAAGAAAAUAAUGUAUGUGAAAGUACUUUGUAAACUAUAGAGUUUUAUAUAAAUGUAAAAAGUUGUUAAUAAUAAAGUCAUUCCUUGCCAUGUCAA
Non-coding RNA from Monodelphis domestica (gray short-tailed opossum), 6596 nucleotides. Lineage: Eukaryota; Metazoa; Chordata; Mammalia; Didelphimorphia; Didelphidae. The record is from RefSeq and is a predicted model, not a curated record.